This 2021-nucleotide long non-coding RNA is filed under the name Marmota monax (woodchuck). The record is from RNAcentral. Lineage: Eukaryota; Metazoa; Chordata; Mammalia; Rodentia; Sciuridae.
GCCCCCUCCUGUCCCCUCCCACCCCUCUGCCCUAUCUAGAGUUCAUUUAUUCCUCCCAUGCUCCCUCUCCCUAUCCCACUAUGAAUCAGUCUCCUUAUAUCAAAGAAAACAUUUGGCAUUUGUUUUUGUUGUUUUUUUUUGGGGGGGGGGGGAUUGCCUAACUUCAUUUAGCAUUAUCUUCUCUAACUCUAUCCAUUUACCUGCAAAUGCCAUGAUUUUAUUCUCUUUUAUUGCUGAGUAAAAUUCCAUUGUGUGUAUAUGCCACAUUUUUUUAUCCAUUCAUCUAUUGAAGGGCAUCUAGGUUGGUUCCACAGUUUAGCUAUUGUGAAUUGUGCUGCUAUAAACAUUGAUGUGGCGGUGUCCCUGUAGUAUGCUGUUUUUAAGUCCUUUGAGAAUAGACCGAGGAGAGGGAUAGCUGGGUCAAAUGGUGGUUCUAGUCCCAAUUUUUCAAGAAGUCUUCUUACUGCUUUCCAUAUUGGCUGCAUCAAUUUGCAGUCCCACCAACAGUGUAUGAGUAUACCUUUUUCCCCACAUCCUUGCCAACACUGUUGUUUGUCUUUAUAAUAGCUGCCAUUCUGACUGGAGUGAGAUGAUAUCUUAGAGUAGUUUUGAUUUGCAUUUCUCUAAUUGCUAGAGAUUAUGAGCAUUUUUUCAUAUAUUUGUUGAUUGAUUGUAUAUCCUCUUCUGAGAAGUGUCUGUUCAGGUCCUUGGCCCAUUUAUUGAUUGGGUUAUUUGUUUUUUUGGUGUUUAACUUUUUGAGUUCUUUAUAUACCCUAGAGAUUAGUGCUGUGAUUGUGAGGGGUAAAAAUUUGCUCCCAAGAUGUAGGCUCUCUAUUCACAGAUUGUCUCUUUUGCUGAGAAGAAACUUUUUAGUUUGAGUCCAUCCCAUUGAUUGAUUUUUUAAUUUUAAUUCUUGCACCCAAAGAGUUUUAUUAAGGAAGUUGAGGCCUAAUCCCACAUGAUGGAGGGAAAGGCCUACUUUUUCUUCUGAUAGAUGCAGGGUCUCUGGUUUUAUUCCUAAGUCCUUGAUCCAUUUUGAAUUGAGUUUUGUGCAUGGUGAGAGACAGGGGUUUAAUUUCAUUUGUUGCAUAUGUAUUUUCAGUUUUCCCAGCACCAUUUAUUGAAGAGGCUAUAUUUUCUCCAAUGCAUGUUUUGGCACCUUUGUAUAAGAUAAGAUAGUUGUAAUUUUGUGGGUUAGUCUCUGUAUCCUCUGUUCUGUACCAUUGGUUUACCAGUCUGGUUUGGUGCCAGUACCAUGCUGUUUCUGUUAAUAUUGCUCUGUAGUAUAGUUUAAGGUCUGUUAUUGUGAUGCCACCUGCUUCACUCUUCCUGCUAAGGAUUGCUUUAGCUAUUCUGGGUCUUUUAUUUUUCCAGAUGAAUUUUAUGAUUGAUUUUUCUAUUUCUAUGAGGAAUGUCAUUGGGAUUUUGAUCGGAAUUUCAUUAAAUCUUUAUAGUGCUUUUGGAAGUACGGUCAUUUUGAUAAUAUUAAUCCUGCCUAUCCAAGAGCAAGGUUAGAUCUUUCCAUCUUCUAAGGUCUUCUUUGACUUCUUUCUUUAGGAUUCUGUAAUUUUCAUUAUAUAGAUAUUUCAUCUCUUUGGUUAAGUUGAUUCCCAAGUAUUUUAUUUGGGGGGCCUGCAGAGGUCUAUGUAGGUGGAUCUGGGCUGCCCAGCUUGACCUCCUGCAGUAGUCUGCUAGUAGGAAGGGGCGGUCCUGUGCCAAGGGCUAGCCUCUGGUGGGUGUCUGCCCUGCAGGUGCAGGGGUGGGCCCGGGCCUACAAUGAGCCUGGAUCCUGUGCCAGUCAGUUUUGAUAAUCAGCUUUGUAGUAAGUUUUGGGUUUUUUAAAUAUUUACGUUUUUAGUUGUAGUUGGACAAAAUACCUUUAUUUAUUUAUUUUUAUGUGGUGCUGAGGAUCGAACCCCGGGCCUCACAUGCGCAAGGCUGAGCCACAACCCCAGCCCCAUUUUGUAGUAAGUUUUGAAAUCAGGAAUCAUGGAUCCUCCUAUUUUUUCAAUUUUAUAUUG